Molecule: ribosomal RNA, 299 nt
Filed under: uncultured bacterium
Lineage: Bacteria
Description: partial 16S ribosomal RNA
Rfam family: Bacterial small subunit ribosomal RNA
Source: RNAcentral
GAUGAACGCUAGCGGCAGGCUUAACACAUGCAAGUCGAGGGGUAUUGGUUUUCGGACCAAGAGACCGGCGCACGGGUGCGUAACGCGUAUGCAAUCUACCUUUUGCAGAGGGAUAGCCCCAGAGAAAUUUUGGGAUUAAUACCUCAUAGUAUAGUACUUUGGCAUCAAGGAACUAUUAAAGUCACAACGGCAAAGAUGAGCAUGCGUCCCAUUAGCUAGUUGGUAAGGUAACGGCUUACCAAGGCUACGAUGGUAGGGGUCCUGAGAGGGAGAUCCCCCACACUGGUACUGAGACACGG